RNA transcript from Malania oleifera, 6110 nucleotides. RefSeq lists it as uncharacterized. The record is from RefSeq and is a predicted model, not a curated record. Lineage: Eukaryota; Viridiplantae; Streptophyta; Magnoliopsida; Santalales; Ximeniaceae. The transcript is spliced from 19 exons.
GGAUUGGAACCGGACAUAAACUCCCUGCGGUUCACUUUCCUCGGCGCUCCAUCUCCGGUCUCUGCAACUGUAACGCUUCACAUGUCCGAAAAAAACCCUAGGACGCCAAACGACCCUCUCAUCCCCCUCCCAUUCUCAUCCGUGGAAAUGGACACUCGCCAACUCAUCGACUCUCUCACCUCUCACAUAUCACUCUAUCACUUCUCCUCCCCAAAUCAUAAUCCCAAUUCUGACCCCAACCCCAGAUCAUCCAUCCUCAAAUGGUUCUCAUCACUCACCGUCCAUCAGCGCCAAGCGCACCUCACCACCGUCGAACCGAACUUCAUCCAGCUUCUCCUCUGCAUGCAGUCCAAGCUCCGCACUCAUGGCCAUGGCUUUUUCUUCAUUCUCCCCGAUCUUCCCUCCCGAAACCGUCCGUUCCUGCCCAGCCUCUGCUACAGAAAGUCCCAGGGGCUCUUGGCUCGGGUUUCGGAGGGGAAUGGUUUGGAGCGGUCGGUUUAUGAGUCGGUUCGGCUGUUCGGGUCAAGGGAAGGGGAGAAUGCGAACGAGUGCUGUUGUUCUCUGAAGGGUCUCGAUUCAAUGACUGUGUGCGAGGAUUUCGUGGUGAAUGUGGAUAGAUUUGUGGCGGUAAUGGAUGGGGUUUCGAAUGGUGGUUUUUUGAGGGGCGAAGCAACUGAAUUGGGCGCGGAUUGGGUGGAAAUGAAGUGGUUGAAGGCCAAAGGGUACUACAGUAUCGAGUCAUUUUUGGCUAAUAGGCUUGAGGUGGCAUUGAGGUUGGCGUGGCUAAAUUGUAGUAGUGGGAAGAAGAGGGGAGUGAAGUUGCAAGAGAAGGUGAACGCCACAGGCAUGGCAGUUAAUGUGUUUUGGAGGAAGAAGGGAUGCUUGGACUGGUGGGGCAAAUUGGAUGGUGCAAUUAAAAGGAAGGUGUUUCGGACAGUACUGGGAAAAGCGGCAAAGUCUCUGACUGACGAGACUUUGAAGGGGGCGAAUAGUGCCUUGGAGGAUGAGAUGUGGGCCUUCAGUGUAGGAAUGGAGCAACCAUUGAGGUACAACUCUUUUGUAUCAUCUCAAAGGACUAUCACAGCACCCUCAGCCGAUGUGGAAUUUGGUUCAACCAUUGCCCCAGCUUCUGUGUCUGGAAAAAUUACUCCCUUGCCCCAAAUCUUUAAUGGUUUGCUUGUGCUUUGGGAUAUUCUUACUAUGCUGUUGUCAUGUCAGCACUCUGAAUAUGACAAAGAGAAACUAUUUUUUAGCACAUUGGGUUCUGUCAGUACCAUUUCAGAUUGUGUACUAAGGAAACUGCGAACAUUUCUCAUGGUUAUUUCACUUGAUUGCACAAAAAUAGAACUAUUGGGAGAGGGAACUUCAAAGUGCCCACCAAAUAAAAUGAAAGAAAACUCUGGAGCGGGUAGCCGGAGAAAAAAGAGGAAAACACGGAACAUGAAAAGGGUAAAUCCCGUUUCAGCAUUUCAAGGAGAUAAUUUAACAAGAUGUGAACCUUUGGAGGGUCAAGGACGCUGUUUGGCUCAGGCAGAGAUUGUAGAUUUUGCAGAAUCCAACAAUAUGGCUUGUAUACAUCAGGGAAAGAAUGUUUGCAGAGAGGCAUUGUCAUCAGCAGUUAAAAUGGAGCAUGCCCAGUGUCUGGUUGAAGAAAAUGUCCAGACAGCUGCAAGGAAGAACAGGAAAGGAAGAACAAAGAACAAAAACGGUAACUUAAUUGAUCCUCUUGAAAAGAAUAAUGAGAUGAAAACUAGAGAAGUUUCUUCUUUCUCUGAUGGUUCUCAAGUCGAGGCUGGAAAGUCUCAUUGUGUAUCUGACAGUUCAGUUGUUCAGAGCUUGCCAAACAGUGACGCAACUAUUAGAACCAACCUUGAGCGAAAUUUAAGUUUGUGCAAUUCUACCAGUGGAACUACUCAGGAUGAUGCUGCUCAGAGCAUUCAAGGAGAUCCUGUUCUUGGCUCUACUAGGAGUAGGUGUCAUGCUAGUCUGGAGUGGGACCAGUUCACAAAUAGCGUGAUUGAAGAACAGACUGUAUCCAGAUCCAGUGGUGCCUCUCAUGCUGCCCAAAGCAUUCAAGGAGAUUUUGUUCUUGGCUCUACUAGGAGUGGCUGUCAUGCUAGCCUGGAGUGCAAUCAGUUCACAGGUAGCGUGAUUGAAAAACAGACUAUAUCUUCCAGAUCCAGUGGUGGCUCUCAUGCUGAUACAGAGUGGGACAAAUUCAGAUAUAGUGAUAUUGAAAAUCAUACCACAACUCCCAGUACUGAAACUUUAAGCUGCAGGGUAGAUUGUAAUAGAACGCCCCAUGUCGUGCCUGUGAUGGAGCAUGAUAGUGUUGUAACCGAUGAAGACAACUUUUCUGACCCUGGACAAUUAAAUGAAAAUGGUGCAAAGUCAAUUAUAACUGUAGAUCCGAUCAAAGCUACUGGUACUGAGGAGGAAAGCAAACCAAUCCCAGGGCAGGAGAGCGAAAAUCUAUGUAGUAGUGAACUAGCAAAUUCUGUGGGACGCCCUUCAUAUGAGUGGCCUAGUGUAAGCUGUGUAGCUCCUAUUCAUUUCCCAUCUGUGAACUCACAUCUCCCAGCUGCCACUGAUAGAUUACAUCUCGAUGUUGGCCACAACUGGCACAAUCACUUCCGCCGAGCCUUUUUGCCUGCAAUGCAUCAGACAAGAAAUCCACAAAUUGAAGGUGGAUGUGGCCGAAUUCUUUCCCGACAACUGCCAAUGAGUUUAGAUUGGCCACCAAUGGUGCGACAUGUCAGUGGAUUGGCUCCAUCUAUGACCUGUAAUUUUGAUUCUGGUUUUGCCUCAAGACGGAAGUCUUCAUUUUGGCAGGGUUUCACCACUCACGGUUUACAGAUCAAUGCAACAGCUACUGAGGAGGAAAGGAAGUAUUCUGGGGACUUUGCAGACUUGUCUGAUCGAACAAAUUCUCAGGACCUGGUGGAUGAAUUGGACAGUCAUUGGGUGUCAGAAGAAGAAUUUGAGGUGCAUGCAGUUUCUGGGAUGGAUUAUAAUCAAUACUUUGGUGGUGGUGUGAUGUACUGGAAUCCUUCUGAUCAUACGGGGACAAGUUUCUCUCGUCCUCCUUCUCUUAGUUCUGAUGAUAGCUCGUGGGCUUGGCGUGAGGCAGACAUGAAUAGGGCCGUUGAUGACAUGGUUGCAUUCUCAUCAUCCUAUAGUACAAAUGGUUUAACUUCACCAACUGCAGGUUCUUUUUGUUCUCCCUUUGAUACUUUGGCCUCUGGACACCAGGCACUUGGUUAUGUUAUGUCAGGAAAUGAAGCAGCGAACAAGGUGCUGCAUACAUCAUCAACAAUGUCGGAUGCAGUGGCAGAGGAAAAAGUCUCUGGAUCUUUGACCAAUUUAUCAGGUGAUGUUGAGGGGAAUUCAGGAGACUCAUUUCCUUACCCGAUUUUGCGGCCAAUUAUUGUUCCAAAUAUGUCGAGGGAAAGAUCAAGAUCUGAAUUUAAGCGUAGUCAAGGUCACAAAAGCCCAUGUGUUCCUCCCAGUAGGCGAGAGCAGCCUCGGAUUAAGCGGCCACCAUCACCUGUAGUGCUUUGUGUUCCACAAGCUCCACGUCCUCCUCCACCCUCCCCGGUAGGUGAAUCCAGAAAGCACAGGGGGUUUUCUACGGUUAGAUCUGGUAGUUCCAGCCCAAGGCACUGGGGUGUGAGAGGUUGGUACCAGGAUGGAACUACCUUUGAGGAAGCCUGUGUUUGCAUGGAUGGUGCUGAAGUUGUUUGGCCUUCUUGGAGAAAUAGAAGUAUUUCAGUUCAUCCCAUAAUUCAACCUCUACCAGGAACUCUGCUGCAGGAUCGCCUGAUUGCAAUCUCCCAGCUAGCUCGUGAUCAGGAACAUCCAGAUGUUGCACUUCCACUGCAACCACCAGAGUUACUUAACUGUCCCUUGCGGAAGGCAUCGCUCUCUUUGAUGCACAGUCGUCUUCAUGAUGAAAUUGACUCUUUCUGCAAGAAGGUUUCGGCAGAGAAUAUGAUUAGGAAACCUUACAUUAAUUGGGCCGUUAAGCGGGUUGCACGGUCGCUCCAAGUCCUCUGGCCCCGGUCCAGAACAAACAUCUUUGGUUCAAAUGCCACUGGUUUGUCCCUUCCAACGAGUGACGUGGACCUCGUGGUCUGUCUACCCCCUGUGAGGAACCUGGAACCUAUUAAAGAAGCUGGAAUCUUGGAGGGUCGUAAUGGUAUUAAAGAAACUUGCCUUCAGCAUGCUGCAAGGUAUCUUGCCAAUCAGGAGUGGGUGACAAACGAUUCACUCAAGACUGUGGAAAAUACAGCUAUACCUAUUAUCAGGCUUGUCGUGGAAGUUCCUCAUGAUUUUAUAACUCCUGGUGCGUCAAAUUUACAAACACCGAGGGAUGUGCCAGCUGGAGUGACCAGUGAACUAGGCAAUCCUGCUCAUAUCAAUAUGGCUGGUUCGGAAAAUUUUGUAUCGUCAAAGUGUUCACAGAUAAAUAGUGGCAAUGAUUCAAAAUCCAUCCGCCUUGACAUCAGUUUCAAGUCUCCAUCGCAUACAGGACUCCAGACAACAGAACUUGUUAAAGAACUCACUGACCAAUUUCCUGCAGCGACUCCGCUUGCUUUAGUUCUAAAAAAGUUUCUGGCAGAUCGUAGCCUGGACCAGUCCUACUCUGGUGGUUUAAGUUCGUAUUGUUUGGUCAUAAUGAUCAUACGUUUUCUUCAGCAUGAACAUCAUCUUGGCCGCUCUAUAAACCAAAAUUUUGGAAGCCUUCUGAUGGAUUUUCUUUACUUCUUUGGGAAUGUGUUUGAUCCCCGCCUAAUGCGUAUUUCAGUUCAGGGUAGUGGAGUAUAUAUAAAUAGGGAAAGAGGGUACAGCAUUGAUCCAAUUCACAUUGAUGAUCCUCUAUUUCCGUCAAAUAACGUGGGGAGGAAUUGCUUUCGGAUACAUCAGUGUAUCAAGGCAUUUUCAGAGGCCUUUGCUGUUCUGGAGAAUGAGCUCGCCUGCCUUCCAAAUGAUGGUGAUUCAAGUAUUAAGCCACCAUAUAGGCUGCUUCCUAAAAUUGUCCUGAGUAUUGAUCAUUUAUGAGGAUUUUGAAAACCUGGUGCCUUCCAUAUUACAAAGGUAGGGUUUACAUUGGGUUCAUUUGACCCAGGAUCUCUAAAUCCAAUCCAAGUGGAUGAAGCUGAGGUGGUGGCAAUCCAAAGUACAAGAAAUCUUGCCCAGGCUCACUGAAAUUCAGUUCGAAUGGGGAGUUGGUUGGCAGAAAAUUGAGCUCUGUAUGCUGAAAUCAGGCCAGGAUGCCUGAUUUUUGGGGAUCUCUGGGGAUACUGAUGCCAUAUUUUAAGCAAGAUUUCAAGACUUGCUUUUCAGUUGAGAUGAGGAGGUUGCUGGCAGAAAAGGAGCUCUGUAUUAUCAGGUUUGACCUGCCUGAUUUGGGGAUCUGCCUUUGUGACUCAUAAGGUGCAAUAUUUUAGAUUAAAUGUAUCCUUGGAUGAGCCAUUAUGUGGCUGUCGAGUUGUAUGCUUCUUCAUGCUGAGUGGAAAGUUGGUUAAGUUUUGGGGUGCAGCAUCAGGCCUCCACCACAAUCUUCCCUGAUGCUCUCUCUCUCUCUCUCUCUCAUUGUGUAUGCCAACUACAAGUCAGCCAUGGUAUGCGGAUUGCGACAAAAAUGAGGAAUAGCUGAAUUUUCACUUGCAACACCCUUUAAUUUGGCAAGUUCUGCACUGCUGUUGUAUGUGUACAUCUGAUUCAUCUUAUGUUUGUGCCAGACUAAGUUCAAUUUUUCAGUCCUUAAAAUGUAUAUUUUUGGCUCCUUGCAGUGGGACGUCUAGGUACAGGUUAGGAGUUCUUGAAUAUGGGGGGUGUAACCAUAAACCAAAGUAAAUGAAUUGAGUACUUGAUUUCGGUCUGAAAUCAAAUUUAAUAUACUUGGUUAUAUGGUGCGUAAAUAUUCUAUGUCACCUUCAUUUGUGGCUUGAAGUAAUCUCUGGUAUCCUGUAACUAGAUGAUGAAUAUGGCGGUGCACUUGUCAAUGACUGAUCUGAGCGCCGCCAGAGAUAGCUUUGUAAAAUUGGAAGUUCAAGGUUUCAAUUCCUAAAUAUUUUAUUUGAGAUUGAUGACUAUAUUAUUCUCAA